Molecule: ribosomal RNA, 497 nt
Filed under: uncultured bacterium
Lineage: Bacteria
Description: partial 16S ribosomal RNA
Rfam family: Bacterial small subunit ribosomal RNA
Source: RNAcentral
GAUGAACGCUGGCGGCGUGCCUAAUACAUGCAAGUCGAGCGAACAGACGAGGAGCUUGCUCCUCUGACGUUAGCGGAGGACGGGUGAGUAACACGUGGAUAACCUACCUAUAAGACUGGGAUAACUUCGGGAAACCGGAGCUAAUACCGGAUAAUAUAUUGAACCGCAUGGUUCAAUAGUGAAAGACGGUUUUGCUGUCACUUAUAGAUGGAUCCGCGCCGCAUUAGCUAGUUGGUAAGGUAACGGCUUACCAAGGCGACGAUGCGUAGCCGACCUGAGAGGGUGAUCGGCCACACUGGAACUGAGACACGGUCCAGACUCCUACGGGAGGCAGCAGUAGGGAAUCUUCCGCAAUGGGCGAAAGCCUGACGGAGCAACGCCGCGUGAGUGAUGAAGGUCUUCGGAUCGUAAAACUCUGUUAUUAGGGAAGAACAAAUGUGUAAGUAACUAUGCACGUCUUGACGGUACCUAAUCAGAAAGCCACGGCUAACUACGUG